Molecule: ribosomal RNA, 492 nt
Filed under: uncultured bacterium
Lineage: Bacteria
Description: partial 16S ribosomal RNA
Rfam family: Bacterial small subunit ribosomal RNA
Source: RNAcentral
AGUGAACGCUGGCGGUAGGCCUAACACAUGCAAGUCGAACGGCAGCACAGUAAGAGCUUGCUCUUACGGGUGGCGAGUGGCGGACGGGUGAGGAAUACAUCGGAAUCUACUUUUUCGUGGGGGAUAACGUAGGGAAACUUACGCUAAUACCGCAUACGACCUACGGGUGAAAGCAGGGGAUCGUCGGACCUUGCGCGAUUGAAUGAGCCGAUGUCGGAUUAGCUAGUUGGCGGGGUAAAGGCCCACCAAGGCGACGAUCCGUAGCUGGUCUGAGAGGAUGAUCAGCCACAUUGGAACUUAGACACGGUCCAGACUCCUACGGGAGGCAGCAGUGGGGAAUAUUGGACAAUGGGCGCAAGCCUGAUCCAGCCAUACCGCGUGGGUGAAGAAGGCCUUCGGGUUGUAAAGCCCUUUUGUUGGGAAAGAAAAGCAGCAGGUUAAUACCCCGCUGUUCUGACGGUACCCAAAGAAUAAGCACCGGCUAACUUCGUG